This 74-nucleotide non-coding RNA is filed under the name Tepidibacillus fermentans. Lineage: Bacteria; Bacillati; Bacillota; Bacilli; Caryophanales; Bacillaceae. The record is from RNAcentral.
AACCGCCGUAUACCAGACCGGUAUGUACGGUGGUGUAGGAGGGUCGGCGGUUAAUCACCGCCCCCUAUCCUAAU